Molecule: signal recognition particle RNA, 94 nt
Filed under: Alphaproteobacteria bacterium
Lineage: Bacteria; Pseudomonadati; Pseudomonadota; Alphaproteobacteria
Description: signal recognition particle sRNA small type
Rfam family: Bacterial small signal recognition particle RNA
About the family: The signal recognition particle (SRP) is a universally conserved ribonucleoprotein involved in the co-translational targeting of proteins to membranes. Archaeal SRP consists of a 7S RNA and homologues of the eukaryotic SRP19 and SRP54 proteins.
Source: RNAcentral
UAUGAAGGGCUUAGGGUUGUAAUGCCGCCAACUCGGUCAGGUUCGGAAGGAAGCAGCCGUAACGGAUAAACAAGGUCUAAGUCCCUUCUCCUCG